GAGUAAUAUCUAAAUCCCAAGAUUCAAAGAAAAUAUAAAAAAUCGGGGAAUUCCAUUAAGGAAAUACCAUUUUCAAAUUGUAUCGUCAAUUCUAUUAUCAAAAAUCUUAGAAAAAAAGAAAUGAAUGAUAAAGAAACGAAACAUGGGUAAGAAAGGGGAGUAGAGACCACUCAAUAAAUGAAAUAACUACUAAAGGCUUGGUUUUCUUUUUAGUUAUUUUAGAAUUCUUCAAAUUGAGUUAUGGAGGUAAAAGUAGAAAGAAUUUUAUUUUCACAAAGAAAAUAUGGAAGAAAAAUACUUAAGUCAUUGUUUAAUGGAUUUGAUGAUUUUAUUG
RNAcentral lists this long non-coding RNA (334 nucleotides) under Vigna radiata. RNAcentral describes it as "long non-coding RNA (VRAD_LNC011369)". Lineage: Eukaryota; Viridiplantae; Streptophyta; Magnoliopsida; Fabales; Fabaceae. The record is from RNAcentral.